AUUGAACGCUGGCGGCAGGCCUAACACAUGCAAGUCGAGCGGAUGAAGGGUGCUUGCUCCUGGAUUCAGCGGCGGACGGGUGAGUAAUGCCUAGGAAUCUGCCUGGUAGUGGGGGAUAACGUCCGGAAACGGGCGCUAAUACCGCAUACGUCCUGAGGGAGAAAGUGGGGGAUCUUCGGACCUCACGCUAUCAGGUGAGCCUAGGUCGGAUUAGCUAGUUGGUGGGGUAAAGGCCUACCAAGGCGACGAUCCGUAACUGGUCUGAGAGGAUGAUCAGUCACACUGGAACUGAGACACGGUCCAGAGUCCUACGGGAGGGAGCAGUGGGGAAUAGUGGACAAUGGGCGAAAGCCUGAUCCAGCCAUGCGGCGUGUGUGAAGAAGGUCUUCGGAUGGUAAAGCACGUUAAGUUGGGAGGAAGGGCAGUAAGUUAAUACCUUGCUGUUUUGACGUUACCAACAGAAUAAGCAACGGCUAACUUCGUG
Molecule: ribosomal RNA, 484 nt
Filed under: uncultured bacterium
Lineage: Bacteria
Description: partial 16S ribosomal RNA
Rfam family: Bacterial small subunit ribosomal RNA
Source: RNAcentral